This 2554-nucleotide long non-coding RNA is filed under the name Lactuca sativa (garden lettuce). RNAcentral's name for it is "long non-coding RNA (LSAT_LNC005603)". The record is from RNAcentral. Lineage: Eukaryota; Viridiplantae; Streptophyta; Magnoliopsida; Asterales; Asteraceae.
UCGUACACUACAGUGAGCUUUUCUCUUUUCUUCCAUUGUUCUUUUUCUUAGUAAUCUUCAUAUGUUUCUUCACAUUCUUCCCAUAACAAACUAAUAUCCAAAGAAUAAAUUUCUUGAAAUCAUUUUUUGUUAUUUCUUUAUGAUUUCUUCUACAAUUUCUUUCAAAAUUAUUAGUUAUACUUCCAAAAAUACACAACCUUAACAAACAUUCAUCAGAUUUUUUAGAACUAGAUAAUCUCUUUUUUUUUCUUGGUGAUAUCCACCAUUUUUACCACCACCGACAGUGGACUUCCUCUGGAGAAAACCACCGUCAGCUAGCACUAUCAUCUAACCUACUAUCGCAGCUACCAGGUCGUCGGAUUUCAAGCCUCCAGAUGUAUCCGAACCUCCGAUAUGUCGUUAACUACCAGAUCGUAUGAUUUAUUUAGAUCAGAUCUAGAUCUGGUCGGAUUUUCACCGGGAUCAUCCAGAUCCAUCGUCAAUGAGCACCGACGCCUUCAUCGCACCAUAACCACAACCUUUCGGUACCACCAACAACGAACACCACCACCUGCAAUCAUUCCAGAUAUGCAUAGGUCUGGUCAGAUCUGGUUAGAUCUGAUAUUUAGAUGCAAUUUUGUUAAGCCUUUUGUUUUCCGGAGAGCUUCUUUGCCUCAGAUCGUUGGGAGAGUCACUAACUGACAUCAUCAUCUCAAAUCUAAAGCCAAAUACAUAUACCGAUUUCUCGGAUUUGGUGAGAUUUGUUGUGUCUGAUGUAUUUUCAAACAUAAAUCUAAUGUUUACAAAGCAUUUCAUGGUGGCCAGUUGUUGUUCCACUACCACCUCAGAUAUGAAAACAAUGUGCACACAAGGUGUUUGAUGAAAUGCCUAAACGAGAUCUGUAAGUUUUUAUAUUAUAAAUAAGUGUAUGAAAUUGUGUAUCAAACUAUGAACUAGUGUCUGAAAUGUAUAUUAUACUAUGAAUUUUGUUUUUUAUGCAUUAGUCUGUAAAUUAGUGUCUAAAAUGUUGAAUUAAAAAACAUUGAAUUAAACUUUGAAUUAGUGUCUAAAAUAUUGAAUUAAACUUUGAAUUAGUGCGUGAAAUAUUGUAUUAAACUGUGAAUUCUAAUUUUUUUAUCCAGAUCUAAAUUUUAUAUUUGUAAAUGAGUUGUGAAUGUAAUAUAUUAAACUGUGAAUAUGUGUUUCUUAUGUAUUAAUUUGUGAAUAUAUAAGUUAUUAAGUUGUGAAUGUGUAUUUUUUUUUAUGUAGUAAGUUGUGAAUUAGUGUCUGAAAUAUUAAAUUAAGCUGUGAAUUAGUGUCCGAAAUGUUGAAUUAAACUGUGAAUUCUGAUUUUUUUUUUAUGCAAAUUUGAUUUUAGAGGGAAAGAUGUUGACAGUAUUGGCACCGAUGGUCAGUGGUCGAGAUGGUUGAUGGUAGUGGAUAUUGGUGGUGGUGGUAGAGUAAGGAUAUGUUCUAUUUCUCACUCAUCUUCAUCUUCUUCACUGAUUCUUCGAUGAUUUCAAAUAAGUUAUCCUCUUUUAUUAUUCAUGUAUAUGUUUUUUUCUUUUGAUGUUUGCUUCUGAAAUAUGAGAUAACUUAUUUAUGUAUUAAACUGUGAAUGAGUUUUUUAUACACUAAAAUAUGAUAUUAUACUUGUAAAUGAGUUGUUAAUGCAUUAUAUUAAACAAUGAAUUUUAUAAAUUUUAUUAACAACUUAAUAUAAUAAUUUCACAAUUUAAUAUACCUCCAGAUAUGAACGUAUAGAUGUACGCGUUAAGUUGAGAAUAUGGUUGUGAAUAUAUAACUUUUGUUUAUUAAAUUGUGAAUAUAUUGUAUUAAGCUGUGAAUUUUUUGUAUAAAAAUAUGAAUUAAGCUGUGAUUUGACUGUAAUAAACUAUGAUUUUUUUUUAAUUUUUUGUUUGCUUCUGAAAUAUGAGAAGAAUGAAUCAUUAUACACAUAUAUGAUUUUUUUCUAAUUAAAAUUAAUUAUAUAAAAUUUAAAGUGUGAAUAUUGAUUGAACGUAUAGUGAAUUAAACGUUGAAAGAAGCAUUAGCCUCCAAUUUAAAAGGUAUAAAUAUAAGUUUUAAGUUAAGAAUAUGAUAUUUCAAUAUACUAAAUUGUAAAUUUAUUAUACUAAGUUGUGAAUUUUAUGCGGUAAACAGUAAUCGACAAUAUUAAGUUUUGAAUUGACUGAAUUUUGCUCUAUUUUUUUUUAUAAAAUUUGUGUAAAAAUAUGUAUGAUGUGUGUAUGAAUUUUUGUAUUAAUGUUCUUAUGAAUAUAUUUAUGUUGUGUGUAUAAGUGUGUAAGAAUACAUUAGUUUUUAUAACUAAUUUGUAUUAAAUUCAGUGAGUGAAUUAAUAGAUUUAUUAAACUACAAAUGUAAUAUCUAACAUGUCAUUGUGUAACAAUAUAUACAUAUAUGAUUUGGAAGGAAGAUUAGUUGCGACAUUAGUGGAGGUGGUUGGCGGCGUCAUGUGGUGGUGGUAGAGUGGGGUUUGAGUUCUCUGAAUUUAAGAAUUUAUAUAAGAUGGAUUAUAUUAAGUUGUGAAUUUUGUGUAUUAAUUUGGAAACUG